AGUCGAGCGGUAGCACAGGGGAGCUUGCUCCCUGGGUGACGAGCGGCGGACGGGUGAGUAAUGUCUGGGAAACUGCCUGAUGGAGGGGGAUAACUACUGGAAACGGUAGCUAAUACCGCAUAACGUCGCAAGACCAAAGAGGGGGACCUUCGGGCCUCUUGCCAUCAGAUGUGCCCAGAUGGGAUUAGCUAGUAGGUGGGGUAAUGGCUCACCUAGGCGACGAUCCCUAGCUGGUCUGAGAGGAUGACCAGCCACACUGGAACUGAGACACGGUCCAGACUCCUACGGGAGGCAGCAGUGGGGAAUAUUGCACAAUGGGCGCAAGCCUGAUGCAGCCAUGCCGCGUGUGUGAAGAAGGCCUUCGGGUUGUAAAGCACUUUCAGCGAGGAGGAAGGUGGUGAGCUUAAUACGUUCAUCAAUUGACGUUACUCGCAGAAGAAGCACCGGCUAACUCCGUGCCAGCAGCCGCGGUAAUACGGAGGGUGCAAGCGUUAAUCGGAAUUACUGGGCGUAAAGCGCACGCAGGCGGUUUGUUAAGUCAGAUGUGAAAUCCCCGGGCUCAACCUGGGAACUGCAUUUGAACUGGCAAGCUAGAGUCUCGUAGAGGGGGGGUAGAAUUCCAGGUGUAGCGGUGAAAUGCGUAGAGAUCUGGAGGAAUACCGGUGGCGAAAGCGGCCCCCUGGACGAGACUGACGCUCAGUGCGAAAGCGUGGGGAGCAAACAGGAUUAGAUACCCUGCUAGUCCACGCUGUAAACGAUGUCGAUUUUGCAGGUUGUGCCCUUGAAGCCUGACUUCC
Molecule: ribosomal RNA, 797 nt
Filed under: uncultured bacterium
Lineage: Bacteria
Description: bacterial SSU rRNA
Rfam family: Bacterial small subunit ribosomal RNA
Source: RNAcentral